This is a long non-coding RNA of Cebus imitator (Panamanian white-faced capuchin), 91 nucleotides long. RefSeq lists it as uncharacterized. NCBI's taxonomy places the organism in Eukaryota, Metazoa, Chordata, Mammalia, Primates, Cebidae. The record is from RefSeq and is a predicted model, not a curated record. The transcript is spliced from 3 exons.
UUGGAGGCUGGGUGCAGUGGCUCACACCUGUAAUCCCAGCACUUUGGGAGGCUGAGGUGUGUGGAUUGAUUGAACUCGGGAGUUUGUGACC